GUGCCAAUAGCUCAGUAGGAUAGAGCGACAGUUUCCUAAACUGCAGGUCGCAGGUUCAAUUCCUGUUUGGCACACCA
RNAcentral lists this transfer RNA (77 nucleotides) under Clostridiaceae bacterium. RNAcentral's name for it is "tRNA-Arg". It matches the Rfam family "tRNA". From Rfam's summary of the family: Transfer RNA (tRNA) molecules are approximately 80 nucleotides in length. The record is from RNAcentral. Lineage: Bacteria; Bacillati; Bacillota; Clostridia; Eubacteriales; Clostridiaceae.